UAUCUCUGAGAGUCUGCAUAUCAAUAAGCGGAGGAAAAGAAACUAACGAGGAUUCCCUUAGUAACGGCGAGUGAAGCGGGAAGAGCUCAAAUUUGAAAUCUUCAAGGUUUUACCUUGACGAAUUGUAGUUUAAAGAAGUGUUUUCUGUUGAAGUUUCGGUAAAAGUUCUUUGGAAUAGGACAUCAUAGAGGGUGAGAAUCCCGUAUUUGACCGUUAUUUUCAGCUGUGUGAUACACUUUCAAAGAGUCGGAUUGUUUGGGAAUGCAGUCCAAAAUGGGUGGUAAAUUUCAUCUAAAGCUAAAUAUUGGCGAGAGACCGAUAGCGAACAAGUACCGUGAGGGAAAGAUGAAAAGAACUUUGAAAAGAGAGUUAAACAGUACGUGAAAUUGUCAAAAGGGAAGCGUUUGACACCAGUGUUGUUUUCUCGAAAAUCAAUUAAAAAUGGCUUGAUUUUGUGUUGUAUUGACCUUAAAAGCUUUCUUCACUUUUUUCAUGUCUUUUUUAAUGCACUUUUCGUUUAACAAGUCAACAUCAGUUUCUUUUGUUGUAAAAGGUCAUUGGAAGGUGGCUUUCUUUUCGGAGAAAGUGUUUAUAGCCUUUGACUUCUGCAAUCGGAGAGAUUGAGGUCUGCAGCGUAGAUCCUUCGGGGUUAGAUACAUUUGUGCUAAGUUAUAGCCUUUUCAUAGACAACAUUGUUGACUAUGAUCAUCAUGUAGCUUACUCGCUUAUGCUAUUUUACCUACGCUUAGGAUGUUGAACGCGCACAGAGUCUC
Molecule: ribosomal RNA, 773 nt
Filed under: uncultured Neocallimastigales
Lineage: Eukaryota; Fungi; Neocallimastigomycota; Neocallimastigomycetes; Neocallimastigales
Description: partial large subunit ribosomal RNA
Rfam family: Eukaryotic large subunit ribosomal RNA
Source: RNAcentral